UACAGAGGUCCCAAGCGUUGUUCGGAUUCACUGGGCGUAAAGGGUGCGUAGGUGGCCAGGUAAGUUCGGUGUGAAAGCUCGGAGCUUAACUCCGAAAUGGCAUUGAAUACUAUCUGGCUAGAGGGUCGGAGGGGAGACUGGAAUUCUCGGUGUAGCAGUGAAAUGCGUAGAUAUCGAGAGGAACACCGGUGGCGAAGGCGGCUCACUGGCUCGUAACUGACGCUCAUGCACGACAGCGUGGGGAUCAAACAGG
Molecule: ribosomal RNA, 253 nt
Filed under: uncultured bacterium
Lineage: Bacteria
Description: partial 16S ribosomal RNA
Rfam family: Bacterial small subunit ribosomal RNA
Source: RNAcentral